UACGUAGGGGACGAGCGUUGUCCGGAAUUACUGGGCGUAAAGGGCGCGCAGGCUGUAGAUCAAGUCAGCUGUGAAAUGUCUGGGCUUAACCCGGGCAUGCGGUUGAAACUGAUGUACUGGAGUGCUGUAGAGGCAAGUGGAAUUCCCAGUGUAGCGGUGAAAUGCGUAGAUAUUGGGAAGAACACCGGUGGCGAAGGCGACUUGCCGGGCAGCAACUGACGCUGAGGCGCGAAAGCCAGGGGAGCAAACGGGGAUUAGAUACCCGU
Molecule: ribosomal RNA, 266 nt
Filed under: uncultured prokaryote
Description: partial 16S ribosomal RNA
Rfam family: Bacterial small subunit ribosomal RNA
Source: RNAcentral